RNAcentral lists this ribosomal RNA (446 nucleotides) under uncultured bacterium. RNAcentral describes it as "partial 16S ribosomal RNA". It matches the Rfam family "Bacterial small subunit ribosomal RNA", at positions 338 to 795 of the family's 1533-position model. The record is from RNAcentral.
CCUACGGGAGGCAGCAGUCGAGAAUCAUUCACAAUGGGGGAAACCCUGAUGGUGCGACGCCGCGUGGGGGAAUGAAGGUCUUCGGAUUGUAAACUCCUGUCAUGUGGGAGCAAAUUAAAAAGAUAGUACCACAAGAGGAAGCGACGGCUAACUCUGUGACAGCAGCCGCGGUAAUACAGAGGUCUCAAGCGUUGUUCGGAAUCACUGGGCGUAACGCGUGCGUAGGCUGUUGCGUAAGUCGUGUGUGAAAGGCGCGGGCUCAACCCGCGGACGGCACGUGAUACUGAGUGACUAGAGUAAUGGAGGGGGAAGCGGAAUGCUCGGUGUAGCAGUGAAAUGCGUAGAUAUUAAGAGGAACACUCGUGGCGAAGGCGGGUUCCUGGACAGUAACUGACGCUGAGGCACGAAAGCGAGGGGAGCGAACGGGAUUAGAUACCCUAGUAGUC